CAGAAAAGUGCUUGGUGACUUUAAAAAGAGUAGGUAAAGAGAGAGAUAAAAGAUAAUUAUGGAUGGCAUGGACAUUUUAAACCUCCAUUAUCUCACUAGAGGGUAAUUGCCCUAUGACAGCAAUGCAGACAUGAAUGGGGACACAUGAAGAACAUCUCAGGAUGUACAUUAUUUAUGGUGUCUUUGUGAAAUAUAAUUUUUAAUGCUUUGUCCCAAUAUUUUUCUACAGUAAAGUAAUUUUCUCCCUUUUGAGCUAGUUAUUCAGCCUCAGUGGCCUUUCAGAAACUCCUGAAUCAAGUUGGCAGCCUAGAGAAAUUCCAGAUCCUUCAAAUAGCUUGUUUUUAUCCUCAAUUCAAUUGUGAUACCUAACACUAUCUUGACGAAUUUUACUGUAGCUGUUCCUAGUCAUCACUGCUGGAUACCCAUCCUUGACAAGGACACUGUUCUAGACAAUGACACUGAGAUCCUGAGUCAUGAUGACCUCCUGAUUAUCUCCAUCCCCUUGGAUUCAAACCUGAGAUUGGAUAAGUGUCAUUGUCUGGCCAGCAACAGUGGCAUCUUCUUCAUUUGAAUGGCACUUUCACUACUGAGACAGAACCAGACACUGAACCCUAUCUGGAUGGCUUGGUUAUGACAGAAGCAACUUCCUUUCCACCACUGUAACUGAGGCGGCUGUCAGAGUCAGCUUAGUGGCUGAUUGUGACCAACAAUACCCAGAAAGGCUUCAAGGAACUUAGAAAAGUUGCACACAUAAAUGGAAUGAAGAAUUCUGGAGACACCCUAACCAUGGAGGUAAGACUGUCUUAUCACACCAGCAGAAAUAAUAACUAGCAAAAAAAAAGUGGCACGUAGGGUGAUGUCUUUGUGAUAAUAAAGCUCAUAUGCACACUAAAGGCAUUUGUACUCAUUGUGGGAAGAACAUGGAAGAUAUACACUGCGUAGUGAAAAGCCCUUGGAUACUGUAAGUGUAGCUCAAGGAACCAUGGCUCUUGGGUAAUGAGAAUGAAGAAAGAAGCACAGACAUUUGGAGGUAGACGUCAUGCAUUUCAGAAGCCACAGGAACUCCAAUUGGGUUGGGAGCCAUUAGUACUAAAUAAAACCAAGAACUUGUCAUCAUCCUUUUGAAAUACAGAGACACUGAAUCAAAAUAAAUGUGAAAAUCAUGAA
Long non-coding RNA from Grammomys surdaster, 1167 nucleotides. RefSeq lists it as uncharacterized. Lineage: Eukaryota; Metazoa; Chordata; Mammalia; Rodentia; Muridae. The record is from RefSeq and is a predicted model, not a curated record. The transcript has 3 exons.